UGCAGAAUCCCGUGAACCAUCGAGUCUUUGAACGCAAGUUGCGCCCGAAGCCAUUAGGCCGAGGGCACGUCUGCCUGGGCGUCACGU
RNAcentral lists this ribosomal RNA (87 nucleotides) under Adromischus marianae f. alveolatus. RNAcentral describes it as "partial 5.8S ribosomal RNA". It matches the Rfam family "5.8S ribosomal RNA", at positions 73 to 154 of the family's 154-position model. From Rfam's summary of the family: 5.8S ribosomal RNA (5.8S rRNA) is a component of the large subunit of the eukaryotic ribosome. It is transcribed by RNA polymerase I as part of the 45S precursor that also contains 18S and 28S rRNA. Lineage: Eukaryota; Viridiplantae; Streptophyta; Magnoliopsida; Saxifragales; Crassulaceae. RNAcentral also lists the same sequence under 1 other name. The record is from RNAcentral.